Non-coding RNA from Pelobates cultripes (western spadefoot toad), 157 nucleotides. Lineage: Eukaryota; Metazoa; Chordata; Amphibia; Anura; Pelobatidae. The record is from the annotation of a GenBank genome assembly.
GCAGACACAUUCCAGCCAAUCAGCAGCAGACCCUCCCUCCCUGACCCUUCCACCUCCUGGACAGCAUCCAUUUUGAAGCUGCAUUCUUAGUGAGCUGUCCAGGAGGUGGGAGGGUCUGGGAGGGAGGGUCUGCUGCUGAUUGGCUGGAAUGUGUCUG